Molecule: non-coding RNA, 285 nt
Organism: Pelobates cultripes (western spadefoot toad)
Lineage: Eukaryota; Metazoa; Chordata; Amphibia; Anura; Pelobatidae
Source: the annotation of a GenBank genome assembly
CUGAUUGACACUUGGGAGCCAGGGUAGAACAAAGUUAAAGUGACACUCUGGGCACCAAUACUAGUCUAAAGCAUUUGUCAUAAAGUCACACCCCCUUACACCAGGAAAAAAAAUCCUUAUAGAAAGGUAUGCACAUAGCUCAGGCACUGACCAGGACUGAAUGAUCUGAACUACUAAGCAACCUGCAUUACAAGGACACCCAAGGAUAUCACUACUUAUUUGUACUUCCCCUGACUGCAGUCAGGUUGGUAAUUAGAAACUGCUCACUCUGUGCUAUUGAGGCUG